This 578-nucleotide long non-coding RNA is filed under the name Homo sapiens (human). RNAcentral's name for it is "LNC_000177". Lineage: Eukaryota; Metazoa; Chordata; Mammalia; Primates; Hominidae. The record is from RNAcentral.
GCUACAGUACCCAGGUAUCAAGCCGCAUCCUCUUCACAGCUGAGCCCUCAGCCUCAGGCUCUGGGGCUGGGCGCAGCAGGCCCAGUGUGGGCCCGAAGUCCCCCCGUCCGUCAUCCCGGUCUCCCGUCUCAUAGGAUCCCCCGGCUGGGCUGCUGAGACCAUCGCCAGGCUCAGGGCGGGCAGCUGGGAACACAGCUGGAGGGGGAGGCGCAGGGCUGCGCUCACGGCUUGGGGACACCGGUUCUGACUUGAUGCUGAUGUGGGGGUGGGUGGUGACUGUGAGGGCAGCACCCACGUGGGGCAGGGGGCUGCCCGGGAUGAGGUUGCUGAGAGAUACAGGGACCAGGUGGGACUGUUGCUGAGGUGGCUGUUGCGGCUGCUGAGGCUGCUGUGGCUGUGGCUGCUGUGGCUGCGGUGGCUGCUGCUGUGGAGGCUGUGGCUGCUGCGGCUGCUGGGGCUGCUGUGGCUGUUGCCAGGCAGUGACAUUGCCUAGCGACAGCCCCCCAGGUGAACUAAAGGCUGGUAAGGAGGAGAGCUCUGCACUGGUCAACUGGUAAUCUGCAUGGAGGAAAAGUGAG